GCUCCCAGUAGACGACUGGGUUGAUAGGCCGGAUAUGGAAGCACGGUAACGUGUGGAGUUGACCGGUACUAAUAGGCCGAGGGCUUGUCCUCAGUUG
Molecule: ribosomal RNA, 97 nt
Filed under: Streptomyces swartbergensis
Lineage: Bacteria; Bacillati; Actinomycetota; Actinomycetes; Kitasatosporales; Streptomycetaceae
Description: partial 23S ribosomal RNA
Rfam family: Bacterial large subunit ribosomal RNA
Source: RNAcentral